This 497-nucleotide ribosomal RNA is filed under the name uncultured bacterium. Its description in RNAcentral is "partial 16S ribosomal RNA". It matches the Rfam family "Bacterial small subunit ribosomal RNA", at positions 29 to 507 of the family's 1533-position model. The record is from RNAcentral.
UAUGCACGCUGGCGGCGUGCCUAAUACAUGCAAGUCGAGCGAACAGACGAGGAGCUUGCUCCUCUGACGUUAGCGGCGGACGGGUGAGUAACACGUGGAUAACCUACCUAUAAGACUGGGAUAACUUCGGGAAACCGGAGCUAAUACCGGAUAAUAUAUUGAACCGCAUGGUUCAAUAGUGAAAGACGGUUUUGCUGUCACUUAUAGAUGGAUCCGCGCCGCAUUAGCUAGUUGGUAAGGUAACGGCUUACCAAGGCAACGAUGCGUAGCCGACCUGAGAGGGUGAGCGGCCACACUGGAACUGAGACACGGUCCAGACUCCUACGGGAGGCAGCAGUAGGGAAUCUUCCGCAAUGGGCGAAAGCUUGACGGAGCAACGCCGCGUGAGUGAUGAAGGUCUUCGGAUCGUAAAACUCUGUUAUUAGGGAAGAACAAAUGUGUAAGUAACUAUGCACGUCUUGACGGUACCUAAUCAGAAAGCCACGGCUAACUACGUG